This 648-nucleotide ribosomal RNA is filed under the name uncultured bacterium. RNAcentral's name for it is "bacterial SSU rRNA". The stretch from base 1 to 547 matches the Rfam family "Bacterial small subunit ribosomal RNA", at positions 338 to 873 of the family's 1533-position model. The record is from RNAcentral.
CCUACGGGAGGCAGCAGUGGGGAAUAUUGGACAAUGGGCGCAAGCCUGAUCCAGCCAUGCCGCGUGUGUGAAGAAGGCCUUCGGGUUGUAAAGCACUUUUAUCCGGAAAGAAAAGCUUUGGGUUAAUACCCUGAAGUCAUGACGGUACCGGAAGAAUAAGCACCGGCUAACUUCGUGCCAGCAGCCGCGGUAAUACGAAGGGUGCAAGCGUUACUCGGAAUUACUGGGCGUAAAGCGUGCGUAGGUGGUUUGUUAAGUCUGAUGUGAAAGCCCUAGGCUCAACCUGGGAAUUGCAUUGGAUACUGGCAGGCUAGAGUGCGGUAGAGGAUAGUGGAAUUCCCGGUGUAGCAGUGAAAUGCGUAGAGAUCGGGAGGAACAUCUGUGGCGAAGGCGACUAUCUGGGCCAGCACUGACACUGAGGCACGAAAGCGUGGGGAGCAAACAGGAUUAGAUACCCUGGUAGUCCACGCCCUAAACGAUGCGAACUGGAUGUUGGGUGCAACUAGGCACUCAGUAGUACGAGACGUACGACGUUAAGUUCGCCGUCCGUCGGGGUAGGUUACGGGUUCGGUCGAGACGUAGAACGUUACGAAGGAAGUUAGACGGCGUUGAGGACGUUCGCCGACGGCGACCGACCGAGGGAGGAGG